CUGAAUGUUAAUUUUAUAUUUUGCAGGAGUUGAGAAGGAAAGAGGAUGCAAUAGCACGAGGUGACCGAGAUUCCGUUUAACAAUUUUCUUUAUUGCUGGAACAAGUCUUAACCAAGAUCAAGAUCAAAGUACUUCACUAAGUUAUAUAUGCAGGCAUUGCAAUACUUUGGCUUCAUCUAAAGCUUGAACCAACCCUCUGUUGUAUAUUGUUUCUUCUUCUUUUCUGAUCUUUUUCCUUUGAUUAAUGAGAUGUGAUGAUGAUUUGGCAUUAUUUUCUCACCAGGAUGAAUUAUGUUUUAGAAAUUCUAAUACUUUGUGUGUCUCUGUGUGUGUGUUUUUUUUAUGUAUUAAAUUACAUAUUGAAUCAAUAUUUAUGUAUUAAAUUUAAAUUCAUUAAUUUUUAUA
Gossypium arboreum is the source of this 405-nucleotide long non-coding RNA. RefSeq lists it as uncharacterized. The transcript is spliced from 2 exons. NCBI's taxonomy places the organism in Eukaryota, Viridiplantae, Streptophyta, Magnoliopsida, Malvales, Malvaceae. The record is from RefSeq and is a predicted model, not a curated record.